This 586-nucleotide ribosomal RNA is filed under the name uncultured fungus. Its description in RNAcentral is "eukaryotic LSU rRNA". The stretch from base 211 to 364 matches the Rfam family "5.8S ribosomal RNA". Lineage: Eukaryota; Fungi. The record is from RNAcentral.
CUUCCGUAGGGGGGACCUGCGGAAGGAUCAUUACUGAAGGCCCCUAACCGGGCUUUUCCGUAUGGUCGCUCUCUGGCUGUGCGCCGCGAGGCUUGCACGCUCGAGUCGACCGUCCAUCGACACCUGUGCACUCUGCGGGUCACGUUUGUGGCCCUGCUUUUUCAUUGUCUACUUAGUUUUGGAUGUCAUUGCUUUCGUAAUUGAAAAUACAACUUUCAGCAACGGAUCUCUUGGCUCUCGCAUCGAUGAAGAACGCAGCGAAUUGCGAUAUGUAAUGUGAAUUGCAGAAUUCAGUGAAUCAUCGAAUCUUUGAACGCACCUUGCGCCCUAUGGUAUUCCACAGGGCACGCCUGUUUGAGUGUCACGUUAAUCUAUCACCCUUGGACUGUUUACGCGGUUCAUGUCGGUGGAUUUGGGUGCUGCCGUCGUUGGCUCGCCUUGAAAUGCAUUAGCCUUUGGCUCCCGUGCGGGGUCGUCGCGGUGUGAUAGUUCUUUGCAUCGUUGGCCUUGCGCUGGCUAUGGCUCAUAGUCGUCCUUGACCGGACAAUUAUUCGAACCUGACCUCAAAUCAGGUGGAAUCCCAGUU